RNAcentral lists this ribosomal RNA (497 nucleotides) under uncultured bacterium. RNAcentral's name for it is "partial 16S ribosomal RNA". It matches the Rfam family "Bacterial small subunit ribosomal RNA", at positions 28 to 507 of the family's 1533-position model. The record is from RNAcentral.
GAUGAACGCUGGCGGCGUGCCUAAUACAUGCAAGUAGAACGCUGAAGGAAGGAGCUUGCUCUUUCCGGAUGAGUUGCGAACGGGUGAGUAACGCGUAGGUAACCUGCCUGGUAGCGGGGGAUAACUAUUGGAAACGAUAGCUAAUACCGCAUAACAGUAGAUGUUGCAUGAUAUCUACUUAAAAGGUGCAAUUGCACCACUACCAGAUGGAACUGCGUUGUAUUAGCUAGUUGGUGAGGUAACGGCUCACCAAGGCGACGAUACAUAGCCGACCUGAGAGGGUGAUCGGCCACACUGGGACUGAGACACGGCCCAGACUCCUACGGGAGGCAGCAGUAGGGAAUCUUCGGCAAUGGACGGAAGUCUGACCGAGCAACGCCGCGUGAGUGAAGAAGGUUUUCGGAUCGUAAAGCUCUGUUGUAAGAGAAGAACGAGUGUGAGAGUGGAAAGUUCACACUGUGACGGUAUCUGACCAGAAAGGGACGGCUAACUACGUG